UACGAAGGGGGCUAGCGUUGCUCGGAAUCACUGGGCGUAAAGCGCACGUAGGCGGAUUGCUAAGUCAGGGGUGAAAUCCUGGAGCUCAACUCCAGAACUGCCUUUGAUACUGGCGAUCUUGAGUCCGGGAGAGGUGAGUGGAACUGCGAGUGUAGAGGUGAAAUUCGUAGAUAUUCGGAAGAACACCAGUGGCGAAGGCGGCUCACUGGCCCGGUACUGACGCUGAGGUGCGAAAGCGUGGGGAGCAAACGGG
This 253-nucleotide ribosomal RNA is filed under the name uncultured bacterium. Its description in RNAcentral is "partial 16S ribosomal RNA". It matches the Rfam family "Bacterial small subunit ribosomal RNA", at positions 524 to 776 of the family's 1533-position model. The record is from RNAcentral.